GGUGUCAGAAAAGUUACCACAGGGAUAACUGGCUUGUGGCAGCCAAGCGAACAUAGCGACGUUGCUUUUUGAUCCUUCGAUGUCGGCUCUUCCUAUCAUUGUGAAGCAAAAUUCACCAUGUGUUGGAUUGUUCACCCAUCAAUAGGGAACGUGAGCUGGGUUUAGACCGUCGCGAGACAGGUUAGUUUUACCCUACUGAUGAAUAGUAUUGCGACAGUAGACUAAUUUAGUACGAGAGGAACCGUUGGUCCAGAUAAUUGGUAAAUACGGUUAGCUGACCAGCUAAUGCCGUGAAGCUACCAUCUGUUGGAUUAUGACUGAACGCCUCUAAGUCAGAAUCCAUGCUGGAAAGCAAUGCAACAGUCAAUAAUAAACGAAAACAAAUAGGGAAACCAAAUUCAUCUUCGGAACACAAAGGCAGAGCAAAUCUGCUGGCGGACUCCGAUUCAUAAUUUCGAUUAUUAUUGUUCCAAAUCACUUGCAGACGACUUGAAAUAGACAUGGGU
Molecule: ribosomal RNA, 506 nt
Filed under: uncultured eukaryote
Lineage: Eukaryota
Description: eukaryotic LSU rRNA
Rfam family: Eukaryotic large subunit ribosomal RNA
Source: RNAcentral